This 253-nucleotide ribosomal RNA is filed under the name uncultured bacterium. RNAcentral describes it as "partial 16S ribosomal RNA". It matches the Rfam family "Archaeal small subunit ribosomal RNA", at positions 474 to 727 of the family's 1478-position model. The record is from RNAcentral.
UACCAGCACCCCGAGUGGUCGGGACGAUUAUUGGGCCUAAAGCAUCCGUAGCCGGUUCUACAAGUCUUCCGUUAAAUCCACCUGCUCAACAGUUGGGCUGCGGAGGAUACUAUAGAGCUAGGAGGCGGGAGAGGCAAGCGGUACUCAGUGGGUAGGGGUAAAAUCCGUUGAUCCACUGAAGACCACCAGUGGCGAAGGCGGCUUGCCAGAACGCACUCGACGGUGAGGGAUGAAAGCUGGGGGAGCAAACCGG